GGUUAAGCGACUAAGCGUACACGGUGGAUGCCCUGGCAGUCAGAGGCGAUGAAGGACGUGCUAAUCUGCGAAAAGCGUCGGUAAGGUGAUAUGAACCGUUAUAGCCGGCGAUGUCCGAAUGGGGAAACCCAGUGCAAUUCGUUGCACUAUCGUUAACUGAAUACAUAGGUUAACGAGGCGAACCGGGGGAACUGAAACAUCUAAGUACCCCGAGGAAAAGAAAUCAACCGAGAUUCCCCCAGUAGCGGCGAGCGAACGGGGAGCAGCCCGGAGUCUGAAUCAGCUUGUGUGUUAGUGGAAGCGUCUGGAAAGUCGCAGGGUACAGGGUGAUACUCCCGUACACUAAAAUGCACAGGUUGUGAACUCGAAGAGUAGGGCGGGACACGUGGUAUCCUGUCUGAAUAUGGGGGGACCAUCCUCCAAGGCUAAAUACUCCUGACUGACCGAUAGUGAACCAGUACCGUGAGGGAAAGGCGAAAAGAACCCCGGCGAGGGGAGUGAAAAAGAACCUGAAACCGUGUACGUACAAGCAGUAGGAGCCCACUAGUUGGGUGACUGCGUACCUUUUGUAUAAUGGGUCAGCGACUUAUAUUCUGUAGCAAGGUUAACCGUAUAGGGGAGCCGCAGGGAAACCGAGUCUUAACUGGGCGUUAAGUUGCAGGGUAUAGACCCGAAACCCGGUGAUCUAGCCAUGGGCAGGUUGAAGGUUGGGUAACACUAACUGGAGGACCGAACCGACUAAUGUUGAAAAAUUAGCGGAUGACUUGUGGCUGGGGGUGAAAGGCCAAUCAAACCGGGAGAUAGCUGGUUCUCCCCGAAAGCUAUUUAGGUAGCGCCUCGUGAACUCAUCUUCGGGGGUAGAGCACUGUUUCGGCUAGGGGGUCAUCCCGACUUACCAACCCGAUGCAAACUACGAAUACCGAAGAAUGUUAUCACGGGAGACACACGGCGGGUGCUAACGUCCGUCGUGAAGAGGGAAACAACCCAGACCGCCAGCUAAGGUCCCAAAGUCAUGGUUAAGUGGGAAACGAUGUGGGAAGGCCCAGACAGCCAGGAUGUUGGCUUAGAAGCAGCCAUCAUUUAAAGAAAGCGUAAUAGCUCACUGGUCGAGUCGGCCUGCGCGGAAGAUGUAACGGGGCUAAACCAUGCACCGAAGCUGCGGCAGCGACGCUUAUGCGUUGUUGGGUAGGGGAGCGUUCUGUAAGCCGUUGAAGGUGGCCUGUGAGGGUUGCUGGAGGUAUCAGAAGUGCGAAUGCUGACAUAAGUAACGAUAAUGCGGGUGAAAAACCCGCACGCCGGAAGACCAAGGGUUCCUGUCCAACGUUAAUCGGGGCAGGGUGAGUCGACCCCUAAGGCGAGGCCGAAAGGCGUAGUCGAUGGGAAACAGGUUAAUAUUCCUGUACUCGGUGUUACUGCGAAGGGGGGACGGAGAAGGCUAUGUUGGCCGGGCGACGGUUGUCCCGGUUUAAGCAUGUAGGCGGAUGUUCCAGGUAAAUCCGGAACGUUAUUAACGCUGAGGUGUGAUGACGAGGCACUACGGUGCUGAAGUGACAAAUGCCCUGCUUCCAGGAAAAGCCUCUAAGCAUCAGGUAACAUCAAAUCGUACCCCAAACCGACACAGGUGGUCAGGUAGAGAAUACCAAGGCGCUUGAGAGAACUCGGGUGAAGGAACUAGGCAAAAUGGUGCCGUAACUUCGGGAGAAGGCACGCUGAUGGUAGGUGAAGUGACUUGCUCAUGGAGCUGAAAUCAGUCGAAGAUACCAGCUGGCUGCAACUGUUUAUUAAAAACACAGCACUGUGCAAACACGAAAGUGGACGUAUACGGUGUGACGCCUGCCCGGUGCCGGAAGGUUAAUUGAUGGGGUUAUCCGUAAGGAGAAGCUCUUGAUCGAAGCCCCGGUAAACGGCGGCCGUAACUAUAACGGUCCUAAGGUAGCGAAAUUCCUUGUCGGGUAAGUUCCGACCUGCACGAAUGGCGUAAUGAUGGCCAGGCUGUCUCCACCCGAGACUCAGUGAAAUUGAACUCGCUGUGAAGAUGCAGUGUACCCGCGGCAAGACGGAAAGACCCCGUGAACCUUUACUAUAGCUUGACACUGAACACUGGUCCUUGAUGUGUAGGAUAGGUGGGAGGCUUUGAAGUGUGGACGCCAGUCUGCAUGGAGCCAUCCUUGAAAUACCACCCUUUAAUGGCUGGUGUUCUAACGUGGGCCCCUAAUCGGGGUUGCGGACAGUGUCUGGUGGGUAGUUUGACUGGGGCGGUCUCCUCCUAAAGAGUAACGGAGGAGCACGAAGGUCAGCUAAUCCUGGUCGGACAUCAGGAGGUUAGUGCAAUGGCAUAAGCUGGCUUGACUGCGAGCGUGACGGCGCGAGCAGGUGCGAAAGCAGGUCAUAGUGAUCCGGUGGUUCUGAAUGGAAGGGCCAUCGCUCAACGGAUAAAAGGUACUCCGGGGAUAACAGGCUGAUACCGCCCAAGAGUUCAUAUCGACGGCGGUGUUUGGCACCUCGAUGUCGGCUCAUCACAUCCUGGGGCUGAAGUAGGUCCCAAGGGUAUGGCUGUUCGCCAUUUAAAGUGGUACGCGAGCUGGGUUUAGAACGUCGUGAGACAGUUCGGUCCCUAUCUGCCGUGGGCGCUGGAGAAUUGAGGGGGGCUGCUCCUAGUACGAGAGGACCGGAGUGGACGCAUCACUGGUGUUCGGGUUGUCAUGCCAAUGGCAUUGCCCGGUAGCUAAAUGCGGAAGAGAUAAGUGCUGAAAGCAUCUAAGCACGAAACUUGCCCCGAGAUGAGUUCUCCCUGACUCCUUGAGAGUCCUGAAGGAACGUUGAAGACGACGACGUUGAUAGGCCGGGUGUGUAAGCGCAGCGAUGCGUUGAGCUAACCGGUACUAAUGAACCGUGAGGCUUAACCUU
RNAcentral lists this ribosomal RNA (2907 nucleotides) under Klebsiella michiganensis. RNAcentral's name for it is "23S ribosomal RNA". It matches the Rfam family "Bacterial large subunit ribosomal RNA". Lineage: Bacteria; Pseudomonadati; Pseudomonadota; Gammaproteobacteria; Enterobacterales; Enterobacteriaceae. The record is from RNAcentral.